CCCAGCUCGUCAUGCUAGAGCACUUUUUCAAUGGGCUCCCCAACACAAGGCGGUGACGCAUUCGUAUGUCAUCCAUAUCAACUUUCGAUGCCACUUUCUGCGCCUACCAUGGUGACCAUGGGUAACGGGGAAUCAGGGUUUGAUUCCGGAGAGAGAGCCUGAGAAACGGCUACCACAUGCAAGGAAGGCAGCAGGCACGCAAAUGACCCACUCCCGGAAGGUAGCGACG
Non-coding RNA from Pelobates cultripes (western spadefoot toad), 229 nucleotides. NCBI's taxonomy places the organism in Eukaryota, Metazoa, Chordata, Amphibia, Anura, Pelobatidae. The record is from the annotation of a GenBank genome assembly.